UGAGCAUCAAAUGUAGCUUCAAGGCUUCAUCAUUAGCAUGGGACUGCUUCAAUGAGUAUGACUUCUGUGCUUCGGAUCUAUGGACUCCAAUAAUCCACAUGGCUUCAUUGCAAGGGACUUCAGGGGAUCGGUUACGUGGAGCGUAUGUAGCGAGGCAUAAAAAAUUCCAUAUUUAUCUAUUAUGAGUUGAUGAUAUAGUACAAAUCAUGUGAAAUGGAAGAGAAAUUUUCUACUAGGGAUCUUCAUCUAGACAUCUUCAGUAGUCAAAAUACAUUUUACACGUUGAUUACAAUAAUCGAGUCUGAUUAGAGAAGUCUCAAAUUACAAAGCCGCCUUCUUAAAAUACAAUUAAAUAUUGGGCCUUACAGCAAUCUGAUUCAGAAAUUAUGCUAAUCAAACUUAUAUAAUAUUGACACACAGACCAACGUAAUAUAGUCCAACAAAGCUAGCGCACAAAAUAAUGGAAAUCCAGUUUCUUCCCUUCAACUUCACUACUUUCUUGCUUUUCAUAUCCUUCAUCUUUCUCUUAGUUAAGGGAUGGAAGAAAUCGAAUUCCCUGAAUAAGAACAUAAGAUUGCCUCCGAGUCCUUGGAAGCUGCCUUUGGUCGGAAACCUACACCACUUGGUUGGUGGACUCCCACAUCAUUCUCUAAGAAAGUUAACUGCAAAAUAUGGUCCCUUCAUUCAUUUGCAGCUUGGUGAAGUUUCUACGAUUGUCAUAUCAUCUCGUCAAAUUGCUAACAAUGUACUCAAGGUUCAUGAUCCCGCUUGUGCGGGCAGGCCAGAAAGUAUAGGAAUGAAGAUUAUGUGGUAUAACUAUACUGAUAUUGCAUUUAGUCCAUAUAAUGACUACUGGAGGCAAAUGCGCAAAGUAUGCAUUUUGGAGCUGUUAAGCACCAAAAAUGUCCGGUCAUUCGGUUCCAUAAGGGUAGAAGAGGCUUCGCGCCUUAUUAAAUCUAUUCAGUCACGUUCCGGGGGACCCAUCAAUCUAACUGAAAAGAUAUUCUCAUUUAAUAGUUCGAUGACAUGCAGAGCAGCCUUUGGUCAAGUGUUGAGGGACAAGGACACUUUGAUUAUAUUGAUGAAGGAAGGAGCAGCCUUAGCUGGGGGCUUUGAAUUGGCCGAUUUUUUUCCCUCAUCAAAGUUGCUGCAGUUCAUGAGUUGGAAUAAAAAUAGAUUGUGGAAGAUGCGUGCUAAACUUGAUUCGAUACUUGAUUCCAUAAUCGAUGAGCAUAAAGACAACUUAGCAGGAAAGAAAAGAGGAGAAGGAGAGUCGCUCGGAGAAAAUAUAGUAGAUGUUCUACUUCGGUUACAGCAAAGUGAGGAACUAGCUAUUCCAAUAACUAAUGACAACAUAAAAGCAAUCAUUUUUGUAAGUAUUUUCGUCAUAAGAAAUCACUUUUUUUUUUGCUUAACAUUUACUGCUCCAAAUAUAAUAACUAGUGUUAUGGUUGCAGGACUUGUUUUCUGCAGGAACUGAAACUUCAUCUGUAACAAUAGAUUGGGCGAUGGCAGAACUAAUGAGAAAUCCAGAUGUGAUGGCAAAGUCUCAAGCUGAACUAAGACAAGUUGUUAAAGAAAAGGGGACAUUCGAAGAGAGUGAUGUUCAAUCACUAAGAUAUCUGAAGUUGGUAAUCAAGGAAGCUUUAAGGAUGCACCCGCCCUUUCCUUUACUAGCAAGAUCAUGCAGGGAAGAGUGUGAAGUCAAUGGGUAUAUUAUACCCAAUAAAGCCAAAGUCAUGGUUAAUAUAUGGGCUAUGGGAAGAGAUCCAGAAUAUUGGGAUGAACCUGAAAGCUUUAAACCCGAGAGAUUUGAGAGCAAUUCCAUUGAUUUUUUGGGAAAUAACCUUGAAUUUAUACCAUUUGGAGCAGGAAAGAGGUUUUGCCCUGGCAUGAACUUUGCCUUGGCGAAUAUUGAACUUCCUUUGGCACAACUUCUGUACCACUUCAACUGGAAACUUCCCAACAAAAUGCAUUCUAAUGAUCUUGAUAUGGAAGAGGGAAAGGGAUUAAGUGUUCCUAGAAAAAAUGCCCUUUACUUGAUUCCCUCACCCUACUACUCUUCCACUGAUCGUUAAUUAAUCUAUCAAAAGGAGGUUCUUGAUCAAAACGAUAUAUAAGUUUAGACACAUAUCAUAUGUAGGAAAGUUAUAUUUCCUACACAAUUAUUUUCAUUGCAGUCUCUUUGUAUUCCUUGUCAUGUGAUGGUCACGGCGUUACCUUUAUGUAUAGCACUUUUCAUAAGAUUUGUAAUGUUUGAGGAUUAUAUAUUUCAUACUGUCGCUUUCUCAAAAGGAUCAAAUGUAAUAUGUUAACACUUAAAUUUCACUACAAAAUGAUAAAUAUAAUUAAACAACACAUUCAAUAAAACAAUUAAGAGUUUGGAAUAACUACCGUUUUCGGGAAUUUUUUAUGAAGAUGUUCUAAAGUCAUAUAAUCAUCCCUACGUACAUGUAUUAACACCUCAAUUAGCUCUCGGCCAUUGCACAUUUUUUACCUUUGAUUUCACGUUCAUCUAGGAGUGAUUUUGAAGUUAGCAGUCUACUCGUGUGUUCUCUGGCCAGAUACAGGGAGAUUCUUCAAGGAUUUACAGCUUUGUUUGUAGAAUAUAUCCAGCCUCAGUUCGGUUUGGAGCUGUGUGGUUUUUGCUACUGUUUGAGUUAACGUGCAGUCCAGGUUGUGCUGUUCAGGUCGGCCAGCUCAGGUGUUUUCAGUUUCGGUCAGCCAUAUUCAGGUUCCGAUUUUC
This 2746-nucleotide long non-coding RNA is filed under the name Olea europaea (common olive). RNAcentral's name for it is "long non-coding RNA (OEUR_LNC011100)". The record is from RNAcentral. Lineage: Eukaryota; Viridiplantae; Streptophyta; Magnoliopsida; Lamiales; Oleaceae.